RNAcentral lists this ribosomal RNA (413 nucleotides) under uncultured Singulisphaera sp. RNAcentral's name for it is "bacterial SSU rRNA". It matches the Rfam family "Bacterial small subunit ribosomal RNA", at positions 354 to 776 of the family's 1533-position model. Lineage: Bacteria; Pseudomonadati; Planctomycetota; Planctomycetia; Isosphaerales; Isosphaeraceae. The record is from RNAcentral.
GUCGAGAAUCUUCGGCAAUGGGCGCAAGCCUGACCGAGCGACGCCGCGUGGAGGAUGAAGGCCUUCGGGUUGUAAACUCCUGUCGAGGGGGAGGAAGGCGCAAGCUUGACCGAUCCCUGGAGGAAGCACGGGCUAAGUUCGUGCCAGCAGCCGCGGUAAGACGAACCGUGCGAACGUUAUUCGGAAUCACUGGGCUUAAAGCGCGUGUAGGCGGAUGCGAACGUCGGCUGCUGAAAUCCCCCGGCUUAACCGGGGAACUGGCACCGAUACGGCGCGUCUGGAGGGGGGUAGGGGGGCCUGGAACUUCCGGUGGAGCGGUGAAAUGCGUUGAGAUCGGAAGGAACGCCCGUGGCGAAAGCGAGGCCCUGGACCCUUACUGACGCUGAGACGCGAAAGCCAGGGGAGCGAACGGG